AAUCUUAUAUUCAACAAUGAUUUUAAAUUGCAAAUUUGAAGGUAAAUAUAUAAGUAUAUUUUAAGAUUU
RNAcentral lists this transfer RNA (69 nucleotides) under Hemerobius spodipennis. RNAcentral describes it as "tRNA-Cys". Lineage: Eukaryota; Metazoa; Arthropoda; Insecta; Neuroptera; Hemerobiidae. The record is from RNAcentral.